ACGAACGCUGGCGGCGUGCUUAACACCUGCAAGUCGAACUGAAAGGCCCCUUUGGGGGUACUCGAGUGGCGAACGGGUGAGUAACACGUGAGUAACCUGCCCUUGACUUCGGGAUAACUUCAGGAAACUGGGGCUAAUACCGGAUAGGAAUCCUUGCUGCAUGGUGGGGGUUGGAAAGCUUCGGCGGUUUUGGAUGGACUCGCGGCUUAUCAGCUUGUUGGUGGGGUAGUGGCUUACCAAGGCUUUGACGGGUAGCCGGCCUGAGAGGGCGACCGGCCACAUUGGGACUGAGAUACGGCCCAGACUCCUACGGGAGGCAGCAGUGGGGAAUAUUGCACAAUGGGCGGAAGCCUGAUGCAGCAACGCCGCGGGCGGGAUGACGGCCUUGGGGUUGGAAACCGCUUUCAGCAGGGGCGAAGCUUGUGGUGACGGUACCUGCAGAAGAAGCACCGGCUAACUACGUG
This 464-nucleotide ribosomal RNA is filed under the name uncultured bacterium. RNAcentral's name for it is "partial 16S ribosomal RNA". It matches the Rfam family "Bacterial small subunit ribosomal RNA", at positions 29 to 507 of the family's 1533-position model. The record is from RNAcentral.